UUACUUAACUCCAGAAUUCUCCAAUCCCAGUUGACAGGGAGAACCCGCCAGCACCUCAGCAUAAACCCUGUAGGCCCAGCAGCGCACGCGCGCUGGAGGCCCGCGCUCUCGGGGACGCGCACGCCCGCGGCCGCUUGCGUCACAACCCCGGUGCCUGCCCCGCCUGUCCAGCUUGCCUGCCCGUCGGUCCCCGCGGCGGCGCCGGCGACGGCGAUCCAGUCACUGUGGCGGCGCCUGGCCGGCCGUGGUGGCGUAGGGUUGCGCGGCCUGGAACGCGGACCCGGCCAAAUAGAGGCUUAACGCGAGGAAGGCCACAUCAGGGCCGCGUGUGAGGAGACCUCGCGGCCGCCGAGCGGGAGGUCGGCGUAAAGGAGCGCGGAGCCUGUGGCCGCCGGCGGCCCAGAACCACCGGUCCCUGCGGCUGCUGCCGGCAUGAGCCAUAUCCAGAUCCCGCCAGGGCUCACAGAGCUGCUGCAGGGCUACACCGUGGAGGUGCUUCGGCAACAGCCGCCUGACCUCGUAGACUUCGCUGUAGACUACUUUACCCGUCUGCGCGACGCCCGCGCGGAAGCCUCAGUCCUCCCUGCCGCCUCUUUGAGCUACCACACACAAGAGUCCGGCCCGGACCGGGUCGCCGACGCGGACAGCGAGUCGGAGGAAUCGGACCUGGAAGUUCCAGUUCCUAACAGAUUUAAUAGGCGAGUAUCAGUCUGUGCUGAGACUUACAACCCUGAUGAGGAAGAGGAAGAUACUGAUCCAAGGGUGAUUUAUCCUAAAACUGAUGAACAGAGAUGCAGACUUCAGGAAGCUUGCAAAGAUAUUCUUCUUUUCAAAAAUCUUGAUCAGGAACAGCUUUCUCAAGUCCUCGAUGCCAUGUUUGAAAGGAUAGUCAAAGUUGAUGAGCAUGUCAUUGACCAAGGAGAUGAUGGAGACAACUUUUAUGUCAUAGAACGGGGAACCUAUGAUAUUUUAGUAACAAAAGAUAAUCAAACCCGUUGUGUUGGUCAGUAUGACAACCGGGGCAGUUUUGGAGAACUAGCUCUGAUGUACAACACCCCAAGAGCUGCUACCAUUGUUGCCACUUCAGAAGGCUCUCUUUGGGGACUGGACCGGUUGACUUUUAGAAGAAUCAUAGUGAAAAACAACGCAAAAAAGAGGAAGAUGUUUGAAUCAUUUAUUGAGUCUGUGCCCCUUCUUAAAUCUCUAGAGGUAUCAGAACGAAUGAAAAUUGUGGAUGUAAUAGGAGAGAAGAUUUAUAAGGAUGGAGAGCGCAUAAUCACUCAGGGUGAAAAGGCUGAUAGCUUUUACAUCAUAGAGUCUGGUGAAGUGAGCAUUUUGCUUAAAAGCAAGACUAAAACAAACAAGGACGGUGGGAACCUAGAAGUUGAGAUUGCCCGCUGUCAUAAGGGGCAGUACUUUGGAGAGCUUGCACUGGUCACAAACAAACCCAGAGCUGCUUCUGCUUAUGCGGUUGGAGAUGUCAAAUGCUUAGUUAUGGAUGUACAAGCAUUCGAAAGGCUUCUGGGGCCCUGCAUGGACAUCAUGAAGAGGAAUAUCUCACACUAUGAGGAACAGUUGGUGAAGAUGUUUGGCUCCAGCAUGGAUCUGAUUGACCCUGGGCAGUAGGUGUGCCACACCCUAGAGCCUUCUCAGUGUGACACCAAAACAUCCGUCAGCCACAGAACAUAUACAGAAAACAGACAUGACAGAACCAUUCCUGAUGUUGCCACCACCACUACUAUUGCUGUGGUUAUGGGCAUUUAGAAAACUAGAAAGUCAGCAUUAAGGAUGGACAGAGGUUCAACCCACACCUCCACUUUGCUUCUGAAAGCCCAUUAUUAGACUACUUGUAAUGAUUCCUCCAACCCAGUUUUCACAUCUUUGGUUCAGAAUGGCAUGUCUCUCCAACAAUUUAAGUGCCUGAUACAAAGUCCAAAGUAUAAACAUCCUUCUUUCCUCUUCUGCUGCUACUGUUGCUUCUGUAUGUUACCAUAAAGUCUGCAGAAAUCUGUUGUAUGACUGUAGACACCUCUUCCAGUCUUUCUCUAAGGAAGGAAUGUUAUAGCCUUCAAUCUCCUCAUUUGUCCUUUGAGAAAGUCUAUAAUUUUCCCAAUUUCAGCCUUUGGUUUUACAGUGGAAAAUGGAGGCAGAUGAGAUGGGCCUCUGUGGUCCAGUGGCAUUGUAUUGUCUACUGAAAGCUGCACCCAUUAUAGCUGUCUCCACGCUCACAGUGAUGCUUAGUAAAAAACCCUCCCUGCCCAGGACCCAGUAAGUCAGUGCCCCAACAGACCGUUAGGUCAGUGGGACCCAUAUUAGAGCAGAAAAUUUGGGUUCGGUACAUAUUAUCUGUAGUAGAAAUCCAGGAAAGGUUUUCUGGGUUGGAGGUUUUGUUUUUUAAUUUGUUUUGGUAGGUUUGGGUGUGUUUAACCUCUGUGCAGUUUGUAUGAUUGCUAUCCAUUUAGAAGGAGCCAGAGUGAGGAAGGUUGUCAUCACUUGAUCUGAUGCAAAUACUUCCCUGGGCAACUCCUGCCAUUUGUUUCCAGUUGCCCCCACCUGCUAAUGGCAGUGUGCUGGCAAGAGCUUAUACCACAAAGAGAGCCCUUUCCUUCCACUCCAGAGUUGUUGCAUAGCUUUGCCAUUGAAUCCAUCAAUAUUUAAACUCUAAAGAAAGAGGGCGGCGCCUGUGGCUCAGUGAGUAGGGCGCCAGCCCCAUAUGGCGAGGGUGGCGGGUUCAAACCUAGCCCCGGCCAAACUGCAACCAAAAAAUAGCCGGGCCUUGUGGCGGGUGCCUGUAGUCCCAGCUGCUAGGGAGGCUGAGGCAAGAGAAUCGCGUAAGCCCAAGAGUUAGAGGUUGCUGUGAGCCGUGUGACGCCACGGCACUCUACCCGAGGGCGGUACAGUGAGACUGUCUCUACAAAAAAAAAAAAAAAAAAAGAUAAUGGAACACUUUGGGCGGCGCCUGUGGCUCAGCAGGUAAGGCGCCGGUCCCAUAUGCCGGAGGUGGCGGGUUCAAACCCAGCCCCGGCCAAAUUAAAAAAAAAAAAAAAAAAAGAUAAUGGAAGAAAGAAGCAUAGCCGGGCAUUGUGGCGGGUGCCUGUAGUCCCAGUUACUUGGGAAGCUGAGGCAAGAGGCUCACUAAGCCCAAGAGUUUGAGGUUGCUGCAAGCUGUGACACCACAGCACUCUACCAAGGGCGACAUAGACUCUGUCUCAAAAAUAAAAAAGAAGCUAUUUUUUUUUAAUUAGAGAAAUUUUUUUAUUUCUCUCUUUAGGGAAUUCCACUUGGACAUAUUCAUAUUUAGGGAGCCUGUUAUCUAACUCAGGCAUUCAUCCUACAGAUCAACAACUCUGUUUUCAAAAAUUGGCAUCAUUUACAAUUUUAUAGAAUUACUGUGAAUGCCUUUCUAGUUAAGAUGUUGAGAUAUUUGGGGUUCCAAUUGUUAAUCCCAGAAGAAGGUAAUUUAGUUUGUAUUUAAAACUUUUUUAACCUUUUAUUUAUAUCAGAUAGAAUUCUGAUGAAUUUUCCUAAUAAGAUAUGUUUCAUAUGAAAUUUUUUUUUCCUGGAGAAUGACUUAGAAUCUGAUGCUGUAAGGGCUACUAGGAAGCAGUGUGGAAUUUGCAUAAAGUUUCGUGGCCAAGUUUAUGUUAAAUUUAGAGGACCUUUCUAGUAUGCUUUUUUCUUUAUUUUUAAUUGAUAUAACUCAAUGAAUCCCUAAGAGAUUCUAUGCUGGGGUUUGAGUCAUUCCUGUUAUUGAUAAUGAUGGAGCCCAUACAGUUACCUUCCACUGUCAACAUAAGCUAGGCUCUCUGCUUUUGCCAUGGACAGUGUAGCUUAGAGAUUCCCAAAGUGGAUAACCCAUCAGAACCUUAAUAAUUAUUCCUUUUUGUCUUAUGUUCCAGGAAGUGACAGCAAAAGGACUCUUUUGAGACAGCCCUAGAUAGCCUGCAUUGCAACUUGCAGAAUUAAGAAAGUUUAUACCUAAUAUCCCAAAACAAGCAGCUAGCACUGGUAAAGCCCUUGUGGUACAUGUGGUGAUCACAUGUUUUUCUUUUCUUUUCUUUUCUUUCCUUUCUUUUUUUUUUGAGACAGAGUCUCACUUUGUCACCCUUGGUAGAGUGCUAUGGUGUCAUAGCUCACAGCAACUUCAAACUCCUGGGCUUAAGCAAUUCUCUUGCCUUGGCCUCUGAAGUAGCUGGGACUACAGGCACCCACCACAAUGCCCUGCUAUUUUUAGAGAUGAGGUCUCGCUGUAGCUUAGGCUGGUCUCAAACCUGUGAGUUCAGGCAAUCCACCCACCUUAGCCUCCCAAAUGCUGGGAUUACAGGCAUGAGCCAUGGCAACCGGCCUCUUUUUUUUUUUUUUUUUUUUUUUCUUUUCUUCCUUUUUCCUUCUUUCUCUUUUUUCUUGUCUUUUUUUUUUCUCUUUUUUCUUUUCUUUAUUUUAAAGACAGAGUCUUACUCUAUCACACUUGGUAGAAUACAGUGGUGUUAUCAUAGCUCACUGCAACCUCAAACUCCUGGACUUAAGUAAUCCUCCUGCCUCAGCCUCCCAAGUAGCUGGGACUACAGGCUCACGCCACCACACUCAGCUAAUUUUUCUUUUUUUUUGGUAAAGAUAGGGUCUUAGUCUUAGCGUGGUCUCAAACUCUUGCAGUCCUCCCAUCUUCACCUCACAGAGUGCUAGGAUUAUAGGCACUGUGCCUGGCCCCACAUUUUCUUGAGGUUCUUCUUUUCUAUGGUGUUGCUUUAUUCAGUAAAUUCAGAAAGCAGUUUUUGCAUUUUAACAGACAAGAACUGUACCCGUUUCUUGGAAAGGUACAUUGGGCUUCAGGAGUGACAUAAAGGUCUAGCUCCAGCCCUCAUGAGAACUUUGAACACUGAAGGAUGCCUCCUUCCCCUCCCCAUGCCAGCAUUAUUUAGGGUUGGCUGUGAAUUCUGUGCCAGAGUCACUCCUGCACACUGCUAGGGAUAGGCCUUCUCAGACUGCCCUCACACAUCCCAGUCUAGUCUUUCCCUUCACAGAGACCUCCUUGACACCCCUGACUCACUAAUGGUUACUGUUUUACAGAACAGCAUUGAUCAGGUUUAAGUCCUCCUGCUCUAACUACUGGUUGACAUAUGAAUCAUCAGUCCAGACCCUCACUGCAUAUAGGGCCUCUGAGAACAUUUAAUUGAGGAAAGGAGACUUUAAAGAGACCAGUAUGUAUGAAAUAGGACAUAGCCGUUACCACAGUGCCAGGACAUGGCAGUAUUCCAAUUGUUCUUGCAGAGUGGCAAAUCAAAGGUGACAAACCAAGUUUGACUCAGGGCUGUGGUGUCCACGUUGCCCACAUCAGGAAAGCCCUGCACUGAUAGUUGAGCCUAGUAGGGAGGAGAGUGUUUGGGGAAGAGAUCCCUCUGUUAACUGUUUCAUGUUGUUCUUUUCUAUGGAUUAGAACUUCAUGUCCUCUUUUGUGGCUUUGCUGUUGAUUUUAUAGAGUAGAGAAUAUUCCUGAGAGCCUUGAAGUCCAGUCUGCAAUAUUGUCCUUCCUUUUGGUCCCCAGCUUAUCUUACCCUCUAUUCUCUUGGUUGAAUUCUCUGAAGGAAGGAUUGCGUGGACUUUUGUCCUCUUAGUCAAAAGUUUUCACAUAUAAUUGUGUUGUAUUACUGUAGAUUCUCAGAAAUCAGAGUAGAGCUUUACUUUGAGCAAUUGAAUGAGUGAAUUCAGCAGCAAAGUGGAACAAAUGGUUCUCCAGCCAGAAGAAGUUAUGUUCAUCCUCUGACUGCUUGGAUUCUCUGCUCACAAUGGUGGAGUAGUCAGUGAGAGGUGCCACUGGCACUUACAGCACCCUGAGCGCACAGUCAUGUUGUGUCAUAUACAAACAAUCCUCUCUCAUUUAGAAAAAGUGAAAGAAUAUUUUGCACAAAGAAAAAGGAAAAAGACACAUGAAUGUCGUAUCUUUUGUUUUCAGUUGGCUGAUAAUGGAAUUUUUGUUCCUGACAUGCUCUUGUAAACCAAUCUUGCCAAGAUACAAAUUGUUUUGGUUUUUCACUACGAUUACCUCUUGUUCCUCUUGUCUUGACUGCUGAUGUUCCUCUAUGAUUCUAACGUCUAUUUUAUGGGAAGCAGUCUUCCCAUGGGUUUCCUUUUACAUACUGCAGGGCUAUCUUUCUACUUUAAAAAAGAAAACACAGGACGAAAACUGUCACUAACCUCAUGGGGUAUUUACAUAAAAUCAUUUAGCCCACCUUGAGCAAAUAAUAGAUUCCUUAUUGUUUUUUUAAGCUCACUGUAAUAAAAAGAACUCUAAUUCAGCAUUAUUGUGCUACCUCAAAGGUAAAAAUGUUUUUAGGUCUUCGUUUGUUCCUGAGUUCUACACAUGGCGUUUAAAGUGUCUCUCAAUUGGAAUUGUUUUUUUUUAAAUCAUUGGGGUAAAUCUUACUUUAAUUGUUUUACACUUGUAUUUUAAUCUUAGAAGAAUAAGUGAUUGGAAAGUGAUCAAUUCUUGCUCUGUGGUUUUGAACAUAUAAUUAAAGUCAUUAAGAAUUAAAUCAUUGUUUGCCAUAAACAAAGUUGGGUUUUUUAAAAGGAAACUCUAGGGCUUGGCUUCACUCUUGAUUAAUAAAGGCUGACAAAUCACUUUCUGGUACAGUCAUAUCUUUGCCCUGUCAUUUCAGGGCUCCAGGCCAUCAUAGCACUCAUCUGGCAGAUACACUAUUGGGAUUCAGGUAUGAACCUUUGAAAAUCCGUUUGACACAUUUUCAUCACACUGGUUGACAUAGCCUUCAUGAAGCAAGUGUGUGAUGCCCCAUGAUCAUAUCAAUGUACACAGCUAUGAUUUAAUAAAAAAAUAAAUAAAUAAAUAAAUAAAAGAAAA
Nycticebus coucang (slow loris) is the source of this 6856-nucleotide RNA transcript. It is a transcript of the gene named protein kinase cAMP-dependent type II regulatory subunit alpha, with no coding region annotated. NCBI's taxonomy places the organism in Eukaryota, Metazoa, Chordata, Mammalia, Primates, Lorisidae. The record is from RefSeq and is a predicted model, not a curated record. The transcript has 12 exons.